Long non-coding RNA from Pseudopipra pipra, 1058 nucleotides. RefSeq lists it as uncharacterized. The transcript is spliced from 2 exons. Lineage: Eukaryota; Metazoa; Chordata; Aves; Passeriformes; Pipridae. The record is from RefSeq and is a predicted model, not a curated record.
AUCCAGGCCGCCGGUUCUUUCCAGCAGAGGCAUGAUUUCAGUGCAUUCAGGAAGCUGCAAAACAGGGGAGCAGCGGCACUGUCAGUGCAACGGGUAUUUCUCACGAGAAAGUGGCAGGCUCUUUGUAGAAAAAGGUUUAAUUUAUGAUUGUAGCUUUUUGUGAGAUCCAGGCUUUAUUCCUUUCACUGAAGCACUUGCCUGUUCAGCAGGGCUUUUAGCACCGAAUGCCUGCAGCCUGAAAAGAACAGAUUGCAGCUCAAAAAAUCCUUUCAAUUUCCCUAACAAAUGACACCUGGGCACUAAGGCACAACAUUAUUUGGGCAUGGAAGAGACAGUCAUCUUAGGACAAGUCCAUAAUAGUUUAAUAGCCUUAAUACUUAAGAGAGAAAAUACUUCAAGCAAGCAUGAAUAAUCUGCCCUCAGCCAUGUAAAAUUUGGAUUUCAAUCUCCACUCCAGUCUUGGCAUGCUGAUGGUCAUAAGUGAGUUGCCAAACUACUUUAAAAUUUGAUUUUUCUACAGAUCUGGGAGCAAUGGGAAAUUUGAAGAUGGAGUUUGGUGAUACAGCGUCAUAGCUACCUACCUGAGACAAACACACAUUUUGAGUUUCUGCUAUGCAGUGGUACUGUAGCAAGAAGAUCUGGAUGGACCAGAGCUGGACAGCAAAGAACAUGGCAACCAAGUACAAAUCUGUUGCAGUCCAAAAAUUGAAUACCAGCAGAAAAGGAACUGCUAGGAUUAAACAGGAAACCUUGGACCACAGAGGCUGGGGAACAAAAAACAUCUAAAAGACCAGACAAGAUCCAUUGUCCUGAUCUCCCCCAGCAGGGUGUAGAGAGACUUUGCAUGAUGCUACCAGAUACCCCAUUGUUUUCUCCCUCCCUGUGUAAAUCCUUCUUUCAGGUAAAAGCUGAUAACCCUUCCACAAUGUAACCCUGCUUACUGGAAAUAUCAAAUCUUUUUUCCCAAAAUGUAAAUACUGUAUCCGAGAAAUGUAAAAUCAUUUUUCCCUUAUGUCACCCCUGUUACUGGAAAUGCUAAUAGAUUGUGGAAUCUUCUA